UACGUAGGGUGCAAGCGUUAAUCGGAAUUACUGAGCGUAAAGCGUGCGCAGGCGGUGAUGUAAGACAGGUGUGAAAUCCCCGGGCUUAACCUGGGAACUGCAUUUGUGACUGCAUCGCUGGAGUGCGGCAGAGGGGGAUGGAAUUCCGCGUGUAGCAGUGAAAUGCGUAGAUAUGCGGAGGAACACCGAUGGCGAAGGCAAUCCCCUGGGCCUGCACUGACGCUCAUGCACGAAAGCGUGGGGAGCAAACAGG
Molecule: ribosomal RNA, 253 nt
Filed under: uncultured bacterium
Lineage: Bacteria
Description: partial 16S ribosomal RNA
Rfam family: Bacterial small subunit ribosomal RNA
Source: RNAcentral